CAAGGGAGGAGAAUGUGACUUGUUCUCUUGAUGCAGGAAUGAGAAGGUCAAGUUGCAGAAGAAUAAAUGGAAUGGAAAAGAUUUCAGAGCCAUCUUUGCACAAUACAGCCAUACCUGCCCGGCCCUGGGAAGAAAACCCAAUGCAUUGUUCUCUGCAUUGCCUCUCAGGAACAGAGGGACAGAUGGCUUCUUUUCAUAAGCCCUGCACACUUCUAGAACUGGGAGUAAGGCUCAUUCUGCUGAAAUGGCUCUUCCUGUCAAGUCCUGAGGAGAGCCAGCAGUGCUUUGGGCUUGGAAAAUGGGUACUUGUUGCCUUUUGUUCUCAGUUAUUGACUCUGCUACAAAUUCUACCUUUCUAGAAAAACAGGGAAGAUCCCAUUCGGCAUCUCACCCCACCAAGCCACCUCACUCUUUCUCUACCAGUCACUGUACUUAGCCCUUCACCUCCAGGAGUCCUGCACCUACCUUCUUAGCUAGGAAUUAUAAGUCCAUUUCACAGAGGGGAUCUAGAGGACCAAGGUCCAUAGCUGCCAGGUGGUGGAGGAGGGAAUCGAUGCUAGUUCUGACCUCUUUUUCAACCUUCUAGGUUUUCUGGGAUUUCAGAAAGCCUGAAAGUAUAGGAGCUUCAGCCCUGGUUUCCUCAGGUCAUUCCAAGGGUGAGGCCAGAGUGAGCAGUGUGAGAGGGGAGGAGGGAGCUACUUACCGGAGGUAGGACCUUAAACCCUGUCUGGCAGUCAUUGAGAAUACAAAUAUCAAUAAAUGCUAGAGAGAGGAUGUGAAGAAUAAGAAACACUAUUACACUGUUGGUGGGAUCAUAAAUUAGUACAACACUAUAGAAAUCGGUACAGAGACUCCUCAAAAAACUAGGCAUGGAACCACCAUAUGACCCAGCUAUGCCAUUCCUUUAGAUAUUUAUCCUAAAGAAUUAAAGUUAUCAUACCAUAGGAUACAUGCACAUCCAUGAUUAUAGCAGCAUAAUUCACAAUAGCCAAAUUAUGGAACCAACCUAGGAGUCCACCAGUGGAGGAAUGGAUAAAGAAAAUGUGGUAUAAUUGCUGAUGGGACUGCAAAGGGGUGCAACCACUCUGGAAAACAGUAUGAAGAUACCUCAGAAAACUUGCAAUGGAUCCACCAUUUGACCCAGCUAUCCCACUCCUUGGUUUAUACCCAAAGGACUUAAAAUCAGCAUGCACAGUGACGCAGCCACAUGGAUGUUUAUAGCAGUUCAAUUCACAAUAGCUAAACUAUGAAACCAACCUAGAUACCCUUCAACAGAUGAAGGGAUAAAGAAAAUGUGGUACAUAUACACAGUGGAAUAUUACUCAGCCUUAAAUAAAAUAAAAUUAUGGCAUUUGCAGGUAAAUGGAUGGAACUAGAGAAUAUUAUGCUAAGUGAAAUAAGCCAAUCCCCAAAACCCAAAAGCUGAAUGUUUUCUCUGAUAAGCAAUGCUGAUCCAUAGUGGGGUAGAGGGAUAGGGGAAGAAUGAAGGAACUUUGGUUUGCGUAGAUGGGAA
This 1513-nucleotide long non-coding RNA is filed under the name Marmota monax (woodchuck). Lineage: Eukaryota; Metazoa; Chordata; Mammalia; Rodentia; Sciuridae. The record is from RNAcentral.